CCGUUGGUGAACCAGCGGAGGGAUCAUUAUCGAGUUUAUAACUCCCAAACCCUAUGUGAACUUACCACUUGUUGCUUCGGCGCGCGCUUCGGUGCCGCCGAGGACACUUAAACUCUUUGUUUUUAUAAGCAUUUCUGAGUGGCCGAAAGGCAAAAUACAAGUGAAUCAAAACUUUCAACAACGGAUCUCUUGGUUCUG
Molecule: unclassified non-coding RNA, 198 nt
Filed under: plant metagenome
Description: partial contains small subunit ribosomal RNA, internal transcribed spacer 1, and 5.8S ribosomal RNA
Source: RNAcentral